RNAcentral lists this transfer RNA (73 nucleotides) under Candidatus Chlorohelix allophototropha. RNAcentral describes it as "tRNA-Thr". It matches the Rfam family "tRNA". Rfam says of the family: Transfer RNA (tRNA) molecules are approximately 80 nucleotides in length. Their secondary structure includes four short double-helical elements and three loops (D, anti-codon, and T loops). Further hydrogen bonds mediate the characteristic L-shaped molecular structure. tRNAs have two regions of fundamental functional importance: the anti-codon, which is responsible for specific mRNA codon recognition, and the 3' end, to which the tRNAs corresponding amino acid is attached (by aminoacyl-tRNA synthetases). tRNAs cope with the degeneracy of the genetic code in two manners: having more than one tRNA (with a specific anti-codon) for a particular amino acid; and 'wobble' base-pairing, i.e. permitting non-standard base-pairing at the 3rd anti-codon position. The record is from RNAcentral. Lineage: Bacteria; Bacillati; Chloroflexota; Chloroflexia; Candidatus Chloroheliales; Candidatus Chloroheliaceae. RNAcentral also lists the same sequence under 1 other name.
GCCCAUGUAGCUCAGUCGGUAGAGCACAUUCUUGGUAAGAAUGAGGUCAUCAGUUCGAUCCUGAUCAUGGGCU